GCCUUGACUUUGGGAUAACUUCAGGAAACUGGGGCUAAUACCGGAUAGGAGCUCCUGCUGCAUGGUGGGGGUUGGAAAGUUUCGGCGGUUGGGGAUGGACUCGCGGCUUAUCAGCUUGUUGGUGGGGUAGUGGCUUACCAAGGCUUUGACGGGUAGCCGGCCUGAGAGGGUGACCGGCCACAUUGGGACUGAGAUACGGCCCAG
This 204-nucleotide ribosomal RNA is filed under the name uncultured Actinomycetales bacterium. RNAcentral's name for it is "partial 16S ribosomal RNA". It matches the Rfam family "Bacterial small subunit ribosomal RNA", at positions 129 to 334 of the family's 1533-position model. The record is from RNAcentral. Lineage: Bacteria; Bacillati; Actinomycetota; Actinomycetes; Actinomycetales.